UCUAGCAAAGGGACAAUUACUAACUACUUAUUACCAGGAUCCUUGGACAGAUGGAUCUAUUGUCGACAUGACAAGGAUUCACCUCCUCUAGAUUGGAGCACACGGUGCAAGAUUAUCACUAACAUAGCGAAGGGUCUCGCUUAUCUUCAUGAGGAGUGCAUGAAAAAGAUUGCCCAUUUGGAUGUCAAACCACAAAACAUCCUCUUAGAUGAUGACUUCAAUGCUAAGCUUUCUGAUUUUGGACGAUGCAAGCUCAUUGACAGGGAUAUGAGUCAAGUGUUUAGCAGAAUGAGAGGCACACCUGGAUAUUUAGCUCCUGAAUGGUUGACAUCACAGAUCAUGGAAAAGGCCGAUGUCUAUAGCUUUGGUGUUGUGGUCAUGGUAGUCAUUAGCGGAAGAAAGAACCUCGACAAUUCUCGAUCCGAAGCGAGCAUCCAUCUCAUCACCCAAUUGGAGGAAAAGGUGAAGGCUAAUCGGUUGGUAGAAUUGAUUGACAAUAAGAGUAAUGAUAUUCUAGCACAUAAGCAGGAUGUAAUUGAGAUGAUGAAGCUCGCAAUGUGGUGUUUGCACAUUGAUUGCAAAAGAAGGCCUAAAAUGUCCGAGGUAGUCAAGGUCUUGGAAGGUGCCAUGAAUGCAGAGAGCAACAUUGAUCAUAACUUCGUUGCAACAAGUCAAGUGUAUUUUGGCGCUGCUGGAAAUGUGGGCUUAUCGGUUCCAUCUCUAGCUUCACAUGUAUCAGGUCCCAGGUGA
Molecule: ribosomal RNA, 750 nt
Filed under: Triticum aestivum (bread wheat)
Lineage: Eukaryota; Viridiplantae; Streptophyta; Magnoliopsida; Poales; Poaceae
Description: partial small subunit ribosomal RNA
Source: RNAcentral